ACCACUGUAAGAAGACAAGUUGG
RNAcentral lists this non-coding RNA (23 nucleotides) under Arabidopsis thaliana (thale cress). The record is from RNAcentral. Lineage: Eukaryota; Viridiplantae; Streptophyta; Magnoliopsida; Brassicales; Brassicaceae.